UCUGGGGAAGAGGGGUUUCCAACCCACUCUUAGGCUCCGCAAAACUGGCACACUCUCCUCCAGAGACCAGCCACCAGGAGGAGCAUCCAAGCUGGCGCUGCAGCAAGAGAGAGUCUGGGCAGACACAAGGAAGAACUUUCUGCCCCUGAGGGAACGUUCAGCUCAGAGAAGGAAGGGGAAUCUCGUAAAGUACUAUGCUCUCUCGGGCUCCCAUGACAAUCAUUUCAAGCAGCUAAUGAGUUUCAGAUGGCCUUCAGGAGCCCGGGACGGAUGGAAGCUGGGGGUAAAGACCCGGGAGCAUUAUAUGAAAGCAUCGAGCCCUUCCUAAGGCCAAGAAGUCAUCACUCACCUGCUGAUAGAAGCAUCUUUGCAAGAGACCGAAAUAAUCCUUGUCAGAAUCUACAUCUUCUGUAACUGUCGCUGUCCAGGAAAAUGGGAGAAAAGCCCUGGGGCUCGCUGUGGUGCCAUCUGACUCCGGCCGGUGCCGCACUGCCUGACCCCAAACGGGGCUGGCUGUGCCGCAUGCUGACCCGGGGACCCCCAGCACUGUGCCAGGACGGCUCAGCCAGCCCGCAGCUCCUUCCCAGCACCACUCCCUCCCUUUGGAGCACUCGUGUGCCUGCAGUUGGCCUGGGACCCCUGAGGGACCCACUAUGACCUCAAGGGGAGUUUGGGAGACCAGAGGCACAGGAGGGGUUGCCCAGGCUCUUAUUUCCGUGGCGUUCGGAGAGCCCGGGAGGCAGCCGGUGCCCAGAACCUGGCCAGGAUUACACAGUGGGUUCUGUGGCGUUCUCCCCCCGGCUGUUGGGGGACUUCCGCUGCUUUUAAGGUCUAAUUUCGGGAUCCACUUAAGUGAGCAGAACAUUGAGAAAGGCACAGCAGUGCAUUUCAGAAGAACUCACACUGCGCAGCCCACCGAGGCCAUUUGUGUCCAGGAAUUUGGGGGGACAACUCUGCCACGGGAUGUGUACAGUCUCAGGUUGGGAGGGGGUCUCUCCUGGCAAGGGAGAGCAAACCUUAUAAUUAAGGAACUUUGCCGUUUCCUUGAAGACAUCCACAGCAACCACCGCGUCCUCCCCGUUGCCUAAACAGGACAAAUCCCGGGUUAAGCAGUUCCUGGUGGUCCGCUCUCACACAUGUGCAGAGGGAGGAAAAAAACCCCGCCUGGAAGCUGGCCUCCCUGCUUCCCAGCAGCAGCCGCCUCCCUCGCCCUGCCUCGCCGCCCCCCCCUCGCAAUUAAGGGUAAUCUUUUGUUGCCUGGAAAGUGUAAAAAUCGCUGGCUUUUCUUUUUGCAUGCAUAAUAUCAUUUCCCCUCCAAGUGCGUUAUUUGGUUUGGGAAUUACAUCUAUUUACAAGAGUAGAUGUUGCACAAAGGUUGUGUUUAUGUGGAAAAUUAUAUCGGUGACACGGGCUGAUUGGCAUGUGGAGGCUGGGAGAGCAGGCCGAAGAGGCCUUCUCAUCAGCUUGGAAUAACAAAAUGAUUGUAUUUUCAGCAAAGCUAAUUGAUCACAUACCUCGCUGGGCUAUCUGUUUACUCAAAGGCCGGCCAGGCCCUGGGAAGGUGGAGAAGAGAGAGCCCCGGGGCAGUGGUCACCGCCAGACCCAGCCAGCCUUCCAAGGUGCUGAGGUGCAGGGCCAAGACGAGGGCAUGGGACAGGUCAUGGGGUCAUGCGGUCGGACGGAGAGGUGGGCUGACCCUCCUCGGGAAACCAGGCCCGGGACCUGAAGCUGGCGGACUGUGCCCUUCCCCCAGGACCCCGGAAGUCAGCGUGAGAUGCAGAAGGUGACGAAGGGCAAGUUAGAGUAGGAUCGGGGCCACUGCAAAGAAAAAUGAGCUCAUUCCCUUCCUCUCUUCCGUUUGGGAAGCUGACCCAAGAAGGGCUUUUCAGCUGGUGCUGAGCUGGCUGUGCAGGGCCUCUUGGGAGUGAAAGCUCUGGAAACCUGGCUGAGAAGAUCUGCCUUGACUGAGGGGGCUCUGUGGCUUUUCAGGGCUGUCUUUGCCCACUCUGGGGAGCUCUCCAUCAGGGCCUGAGCUGCGAGGCUAAAUGGGAGAGACAGCUUGCAGGAGUUUGGGGAUGUGGCCGAGGACUGCAUUCAGCUUCCAAACCCACCAGCGGGGAACCUGAGCCCAACGCUCUCUGACACCCUCCCAGAACAAAGACCCUGCUUCUGGCCUUUGGGGAAGGAGGUGCUUAUCCAUAGGCUUGUGACCAGCCUUUCUGGGCCCAUGGGACGAAUCAGUGUGUGAAAGGCCUCCUAAAGAGAGAUUAACUUGCCCAAACUGACCCGAAGAGGCCAGGCCUCCGGGCCACUCUUCAGUCACCUCAGAAAGCACAGGGCUGGAAUUCCAUUUCCUCCCUAGCGUUACAGCUCCAGUUGUGUGGGGGAAGAGAACAGAAGAGUUGGAUACAGUUAAGCAAGAGCUUUUAUUGAAAAUGACCAAUUACUCUAAAAACGACUUGCUGAGAAUUAGUCAGGGAACUGAUUAAUUCACCACUCACUUUGCAAACACAAAGUACCUUUGAAAACCACCCUUUAAAAAUAAUCUGUCAUCCCCGCAUAUUAGGACGAUGGCUGGUUAUUUCACAAACUUCCAGUUGGAGUCAGUCAAGUUACUAGUCGAUCCUUUACACACGACUAGGCACAAGCACCAGCCCCUGGUUUGACGCGUUCCAACUGUGGUCUGCUCUCCUUGUUGCUAAUCAGUCUCGUAUUUAGUUAACAUUUCCUAAAACAAGGAUCAAGAAAUCUUUGGGAACCAUCAAUAAGGAGGAAUCCAAAAUUCCUGAAUGACCACUGAACCCAACAGCAUUGUUUUAUAAAUGGGUAGAGGGAAGGCCGGCUUACUCCAGCCUCUGCUGAUCCCAGCUGGUGAUAGAGUAACCAGGUUUGUGGAUGAGUUGGGGGUCCUUGGAUCGGGUGAUACUGCAAAAACUCCAGGUACUUUUUCUCCAAGCUCAGCCACGAGGUUUUCCCCUUCUAUCGAGGGAUGAGCUCCGCAAGCCCUGAUUUAGAAAUCUAUUCCCAGUGGCACUGUGUAUGUACGUCUGAUUAUCUGUCCACCAUUGCAUUUCAAAACCUCCAGCCCUUCCGAAAAGACAAGCAGCUUAUUAAUGUGGCGCUCUUGGAAUUGUUUUUUAAUUGGAAACAUUUUGCAGUGAAAGAACAUUAAUAAAACCUG
Long non-coding RNA from Mustela erminea (ermine), 3181 nucleotides. RefSeq lists it as uncharacterized. The record is from RefSeq and is a predicted model, not a curated record. The transcript is spliced from 3 exons. Lineage: Eukaryota; Metazoa; Chordata; Mammalia; Carnivora; Mustelidae.